Molecule: long non-coding RNA, 979 nt
Organism: Bos taurus (domestic cattle)
Lineage: Eukaryota; Metazoa; Chordata; Mammalia; Artiodactyla; Bovidae
Source: Ensembl
UGGAUCGUUAUGGAAAAAAAGGAAACUUCCUGCUUCGUAAUUAGGAGGAAGCUAGAGCCCUAAUGAGCUCGUUAAGUGAAAACAAAUUAAUUUGUUCAGCAAACAUUUGUUGAGUCCUUGAGCCUAGUGGCUACAGAGGAGAACAGAGCCCAAGCCCUGCCCUCAGGAAGUUUCCAGUGUGGAGGAAAACAGGCAACUCCACGUGAUGCAAUAGAGGCGGGCCAGGGGUGGGGGCAGAUGAGGGGGGAUUGAGUCUGUUUGCAGCGGUCAGGAAAGUUGUGCCUUGGAGGAUGAGUCGGGAGCCUGAAAGCCUGGUACUCCCAGCAGAGCCUGAGACACGGAGGCCCAGGAGGGUCUGCAGCCCGAGCUCCUUCCUCCCUCACAGGGACCAGCAUCGAGGGCCAGAGACUGAGGUUCAGAGAGGGAUAGGAGGACGCUCAGAGCACACACCAGUCUCGGCCGGAAGGGAAGGCAGCUCCAAGUCAAUUGGCCUGUUACACAGACGGAAACUGAAGCCCAGGCUCUUGUGCUUUCCAGCUGUGCGACCUGAGCAAGGUGUAAGAAGCUUCCAUUUUCUCCAUGGUAAAGUGGCAUGAGAAGUGACCUCACGGGGUUACUGCAAAGAUUACACGCAGUGUUGGAUAAACACCGUUCACAUGUCUUAGCUUUCGUCAACCUACAGACAGCAUCAGCUAGGAUGAGAACAAGGUGUGCUUUCAGCAAAGGCAGCGUUCAAUACAGCCACAGAAUUCAAAGGAAAGAGGGUCUGGGGUUCUAGAAAGGCUUCCUGUAGGAGGUGACAGAGGAGCCCACUUUACAAAUGAAAAGUGCCCCAGCACCACUGAACAUCAUGAAGGAUCAGUGCUCAAGAUCAUUUUCCUGUCCGGAUUGAAGUCCAAAAUUGCUCUCUUCAUUCCCUACCUCUGCAUCUUCUGCUAUCCCAUCUUUAUGUAUUUGAAUUAAUGCUAACAUACUAUAU